UACGUAGGGGGCAAGCGUUGUCCGGAAUCAUUGGGCGUAAAGCGCGUGUAGGCUGUUAGUUAAGUCAGAUGUGAAAGCCCUCGGCUCAACCGGGGAAGUGCAUUUGAAACUAACUGGCUAGAAGACGGUAGAGGAAGGUGGAAUUCCAAGUGUAGAGGUGAAAUUCGUAGAUAUUUGGAGGAAUACCUGUGGCGAAGGCGGCCUUCUGGACCGAUCUUGACGCUGAGACGCGAAAGCGUGGGUAGCAAACAGG
RNAcentral lists this ribosomal RNA (253 nucleotides) under uncultured bacterium. RNAcentral describes it as "partial 16S ribosomal RNA". It matches the Rfam family "Bacterial small subunit ribosomal RNA", at positions 524 to 776 of the family's 1533-position model. The record is from RNAcentral.